GACGCGUAAGCGCCGUAGGCAGGAGCGGGGGACCCAGGUAAGCCGCCGGGUCCGGACGCCUCGUCGAACCGACGGGGGCGCACGGGACCGGCUAGGGGUCAAGUCGCGAGCAGUACCGCGCGACCGGGCAACUCAUCAGCCCGAACCCGACAGCUCACCUCGUAGGCGUCGGUGAGGAGAUUC
Molecule: non-coding RNA, 183 nt
Organism: Streptomyces griseus subsp. griseus NBRC 13350
Lineage: Bacteria; Bacillati; Actinomycetota; Actinomycetes; Kitasatosporales; Streptomycetaceae
Source: Rfam